CCACCCAUUAUGGCUCCCCUGCCAUAGGCCCCGCGGCCAGCUCACAGGGGCUGUGCCUAAGCCGACUCCCAUCGGGGCCACCGGUGCGGGGGUCCCUGGCUCGCGGCUGGCGCGCUCCAAACUAGGUGGUAGGCGGCUCUCUGCACCCUAGCGGAGGCCCCUCCGCACCCAUGGGGUCGAAUGCCGGCCGCCCCGGGGUACAGGAGUCCUGGGGCCGGGACAGGAGCAGCUUGCAGGAGACAGAUCUUCACAGGCGACCAGCUCCAGAGCGCUAGGGAACGUGUCCUGGAAAGGACCCAGCACGGGGUUUGCAGCGGCCCCAGACGCCUGUGGGAGAAGCGUCCGUGUAAAACCACGUCAGGGCACUGUUGAUCGCAGUUAGGUUGGCCGCAGUGUGAUUCAUCCAAACAAGGCAGGAAGGCCCCGCGUUCCCGAGACACUCGGUUAGGAAGUCCCGGUCACGGACAAAGCUGGUUGAGGCUUCCCCGCCGCACUGGCUCCCCCUGCACGUGGGUUCUCCUGCGUGCACGUAUCCUACGCCGGUGUGGAAGAAGGCACAAGACCCUGGGCCUGGCUGCCCCACUGACGUUUACCAGGAGGCAGGACUUGGGGUGCCCAGGGGGCUCAACGGCUGAGUAUCUACCUUCAGCUCCGGGGGUGCCGGAUCGAGUCCCGCAUGGGGCUCCCGGAGGGAGCCUGCUCCUCCCUCUGCUGUGUCUCUCAUGAAUAAAUAAAACCUUAGGGGAAAAAAAAAAAAAAAA
This is a long non-coding RNA of Canis lupus familiaris (dog), 761 nucleotides long. RefSeq lists it as uncharacterized. Lineage: Eukaryota; Metazoa; Chordata; Mammalia; Carnivora; Canidae. The transcript has 3 exons. The record is from RefSeq and is a predicted model, not a curated record.